This is a small nuclear RNA of Otolemur garnettii (small-eared galago), 106 nucleotides long. The record is from Ensembl. Lineage: Eukaryota; Metazoa; Chordata; Mammalia; Primates; Galagidae.
GCUCUCUUGGGCAGCACAUAUACUACAAUUAGAACAACACAGAGAAGAUGAGCAUGGCCCUUGUGCAAGGAUGACCAUGCAAAUUAGUGAAGCAUUCCCUAUUUCU